Homo sapiens (human) is the source of this 547-nucleotide long non-coding RNA. The record is from Ensembl. NCBI's taxonomy places the organism in Eukaryota, Metazoa, Chordata, Mammalia, Primates, Hominidae.
GCAUUGAGAUCUCUGUGGCAAGGCCCAGGACUCUCUCUCUCUCUGGCUCAGAUAUGUUCAAAAUUUUAUCAUUAAUGUGGAUAAAUAAAUAGAAGGCUUGCUGAGCCAAUUUACAGGUGAUACAAAGAUGGAGACUGCAAUGAAUACGAUAAUGAGGGAGUCAGGUACCAAGGAGAUGGUCAAACUGAAGAGCAUCCAGAAUUUUUGAUAAGGAUAAGAGAUAAUUCAAAGCACCUGAAAAUUAUAUAGGGUGGUUGAAGUUGCUGGAAUUGUUUAUCCUGGGGGAAUAUGAUAACCAUCAAGAACAAGUCCAGGGAACUGAAUUCAAAACCCGAGGUGCCAGCUAACUGAUGCAGAGAGGAAAAACAAAAGCACAAGUCAUCAAGCCGGACUGAGGUGCUGGACCAUCACAUUUGAAUGACAGCGACAGAAUUACUUAAGUGCAUUGGACACCUUGUUCUGUGGAGCCACACACAGGGACUUGAUUCUACAGGUCAUCAACUCAAGAGCCCACCCUUUUGCAAUAGGGUGCAAUGAUCUAAUUAAU